RNAcentral lists this ribosomal RNA (640 nucleotides) under uncultured bacterium. RNAcentral describes it as "bacterial SSU rRNA". It matches the Rfam family "Bacterial small subunit ribosomal RNA", at positions 30 to 646 of the family's 1533-position model. The record is from RNAcentral.
CGAACGUUAGCGGCGCGCUUAACACAUGCAAGUCGCACGAGAAAGAGUGCCUUCGGGUACUCCGGUAAAGUGGCGCACGGGUGAGUAACACGUAGGUAACCUACCCCUGGGUGGGGGAUAACCUUCCGAAAGGAGGGCUAAUACCGCGUAAGACCACGUUCUGAAAUGGAUGAGGUCAAAGCGGGCCUCUGCAUGCAAGCUCGCGCCUGGGGAUGGGCCUGCGGCCCAUCAGCUUGUUGGUGAGGUAACGGCUCACCAAGGCUAAGACGGGUAGCUGGUCUGAGAGGAUGAUCAGCCACACUGGAACUGAGACACGGUCCAGACUCCUACGGGAGGCAGCAGUGGGGAAUCUUGCGCAAUGGGCGAAAGCCUGACGCAGCGACGCCGCGUGAGUGAUGAAGGCCCUAGGGUUGUAAAGCUCUGUGGAGAGGGACGAAUAAGCAUUGGUUAAUAGCCAAUGUGAUGACGGUACCUCUUUAGCAAGCACCGGCUAACUCUGUGCCAGCAGCCGCGGUAAGACAGAGGGUGCAAACGUUGUUCGGAAUUACUGGGCGUAAAGCGCGUGUAGGCUGCAACGUAUGUCGGGUGUGAAAUCCCGGGGCUCAACCCCGGAAGUGCACUCGAAACUGCGUAGCUAGAG